Molecule: ribosomal RNA, 433 nt
Filed under: uncultured bacterium
Lineage: Bacteria
Description: partial 16S ribosomal RNA
Rfam family: Bacterial small subunit ribosomal RNA
Source: RNAcentral
AACGAACGCUGGCGGCAUGCCUAACACAUGCAAGUCGAACGAGACCUUCGGGUCUAGUGGCGCACGGGUGCGUAACGCGUGGGAACCUGCCCUCAGGUUCGGAAUAACUCCCCGAAAGGGGUGCUAAUACCGGAUAAUGUCUUCGGACCAAAGAUUUAUCGCCUUUGGAUGGGCCCGCGUUGGAUUAGCUAGUUGGUAGGGUAAAAGCCUACCAAGGCGACGAUCCAUAGCUGGUCUGAGAGGAUGAUCAGCCACACUGGGACUGAGACACGGCCCAGACUCCUACGGGAUGCAGCAGUGGGGAAUAUUGGACAAUGGGCGAAAGCCUGAUCCAGCAAUGCCGCGUGAGUGAUGAAGGCCUUAGGGUUGUAAAGCUCUUUUACCCGGGAUGAUAAUGACAGUACCGGGAGAAUAAGCCCCGGCUAACUCCGUG